This is a long non-coding RNA of Liolophura sinensis, 397 nucleotides long. RefSeq lists it as uncharacterized. The record is from RefSeq and is a predicted model, not a curated record. NCBI's taxonomy places the organism in Eukaryota, Metazoa, Mollusca, Polyplacophora, Chitonida, Chitonidae. The transcript has 3 exons.
UAAAAGAAAAAAGGGCUUUAUCAUCACUCAAACACCUCUUCCGAACACUGUGGUGGACUUUUGGCGCCUGGUCUACGACCAUGGUGUCAGUACCGUCAUCAUGUUAGACCGUGUGAAUACCGGGAAUAAGAGUGUAGGGAUCUAUUGGACAGAUGAAGACGCAGUCUUUGGCCCGUUUAAAGUGGAGGUCACAGAUGUGGAAAAGGCAGAUGGAUUUUCCUCUUGGACUUACCGGCUGACCCAUAAAGACAAGAAAGCGGCUCAGCCUGUCAAUCAUUUCCGCUGUUCAUUUUGGUCGAAUAAACCAACAUUGACGACUAUUCCAGCGCUAUUGGCUGUACUGCAAAGCGCUGAAAUCUGGCAAGGCAAGACUGGUGGCGGACCUGUUUUAGUUCAU